AAAUUGAAGAGUUUGAUCAUGGCUCAGAUUGAACGCUGGCGGCAGGCCUAACACAUGCAAGUCGAACGGUAACAGGAAGCAGCUUGCUGCUUCGCUGACGAGUGGCGGACGGGUGAGUAAUGUCUGGGAAACUGCCUGAUGGAGGGGGAUAACUACUGGAAACGGUGGCUAAUACCGCAUAACGUCGCAAGACCAAAGAGGGGGACCUUCGG
Molecule: ribosomal RNA, 212 nt
Filed under: Salmonella enterica subsp. enterica serovar Muenchen
Lineage: Bacteria; Pseudomonadati; Pseudomonadota; Gammaproteobacteria; Enterobacterales; Enterobacteriaceae
Also listed under: 14 other names
Description: partial 16S ribosomal RNA
Rfam family: Bacterial small subunit ribosomal RNA
Source: RNAcentral